GAUGAGCGCUGGCGGCGUGCCUAAUACAUGCAAGUCGAGCGAACGGACGAGAAGCUUGCUUCUCUGAUGUUAGCGGCGGACGGGUGAGUAACACGUGGAUAACCUACCUAUAAGACUGGGAUAACUUCGGGAAACCGGAGCUAAUACCGGAUAAUAUUUUGAACCGCAUGGUUCAAAAGUGAAAGACGGUCUUGCUGUCACUUAUAGAUGGAUCCGCGCUGCAUUAGCUAGUUGGUAAGGUAACGGCUUACCAAGGCAACGAUGCAUAGCCGACCUGAGAGGGGGAUCGGCCACCCUGGAACUGAGCACCGGCCCAGACUCCUAGGGGAGGCAGAAGUAGGGAAUCUUCCGAAAGGGGCGAAAGCCUGACGGAGCAACGCCGCGUGAGUGAUGAAGGUCUUCGGAUCGUAAAACGCUGUUAUUAGGGAAGAACAUAUGUGUAAGUAACUGUGCACAUCUGGCCGGUACCUAAUCAGAAAGCCCCGGCAAACUACGG
RNAcentral lists this ribosomal RNA (496 nucleotides) under uncultured bacterium. RNAcentral's name for it is "partial 16S ribosomal RNA". It matches the Rfam family "Bacterial small subunit ribosomal RNA", at positions 28 to 506 of the family's 1533-position model. The record is from RNAcentral.